GCACCUCAUAAAACGGGUGCCGGGUUUCGCAGCCCGGAAAUGUACGAGGCGACACAUGACGCGCCGAGCGUCUUUUUU
RNAcentral lists this small RNA (78 nucleotides) under Escherichia coli. Its description in RNAcentral is "isrK Hfq binding RNA". It matches the Rfam family "isrK Hfq binding RNA". Lineage: Bacteria; Pseudomonadati; Pseudomonadota; Gammaproteobacteria; Enterobacterales; Enterobacteriaceae. The record is from RNAcentral. RNAcentral also lists the same sequence under 9 other names.